CCUGUCAUAGUUCUUCACAACAUAUUACAUACAUAAGUUGAAGUGGUUUCUUAAAAAACGGCAUGUGUUACUUUGUCACUCCUGAGUGGCAACUGGCAAGCACGUUGUUGAAGUAGGAUAACCACAAUUAGCAUCCGUCAUGGUUUAUCACUGGCUUCAAGUACCACUUGCCCUGAAUCAUGGGCGCUCCCAAUACACGCACCUAUGAAAAGUAGAGAGCACCCAUAUAAUCUUAAAUGGUAUAAUCUUAAAUGGCUUGGCCGAGAUCACAUAUAGAAAACAUACUUGUUCCCAAUUUUUAUCGGAAUACAUGACCUCAAAUGUAGUUAUUUUAUAUCUGCUAUUUUUGAUUGUCAGAGUUCAUGUUCCCCUCCAACCUGCAUCAGCAAAAUAUGUAGGCCUUAUCAGUAUAUUGGACAACUCUAGAGCUAUUGGAAUUGCAUAACCUCCAUAUGUCUGCAUCAGGCUUGCCUAUCAACUACUCGACAGAAGUUGAAACCGAGCUCAACGAUUAUGCAAAAAUUAUAAUAAAAAAUCACGAAAUACAUCGUGCCCUUGUCGACAGUAUGCGAGAACACUACAUGCAGACAUGAUGAUGAUGUUACAUGCAUGUCAGGGUUGUAGACCACAAAACAGCUAGUCAUUCCUAUUGUACAGAUUUGUAAGUCUUAGGAUGUGGUAAGCAGGUUAGCACUGACAUACUUUUCAUUUGGACCAAGAUGGUUGAUAUACAUUUCUGACCUCCUCCUCGGUCCAUCAAUUAAAGAGAAAAUCAUGCAAGGCUUUAUCUAUAAGUAAGGCACGUACCUAUUUACUCAUAGCUAAUGAAAUUGACAUACCUGCUUCACACCAGCAUGUCAACUGCUCCCGUACAUGUUAAAAAUGAGCUCAUAAGCUUUAUCGCCAUUGCACCUACUGAAG
RNAcentral lists this long non-coding RNA (921 nucleotides) under Hordeum vulgare. RNAcentral's name for it is "long non-coding RNA (HVUL_LNC002134)". Lineage: Eukaryota; Viridiplantae; Streptophyta; Magnoliopsida; Poales; Poaceae. The record is from RNAcentral.